This 2376-nucleotide long non-coding RNA is filed under the name Gallus gallus (chicken). The record is from RNAcentral. Lineage: Eukaryota; Metazoa; Chordata; Aves; Galliformes; Phasianidae.
GCUAGGAUGUAGGUUACAAUAGCGUUCUUCUGUCAAGUGUUUUAAAGCUGUAGUACAGACACUCUUGACCUUUUAUAUAGAUAUAUUUUUAACUGUUAGGACAGAGGAGGCUGAUUUUUUUUUUUUUUUUUUUUUUUGAUGAAAAGUGAAGCCAAAGACUGCUUGGGUUUCACAUGUCCUGCUUUAUAUGCAGCAACUGAUCAGUGUGUUUACAUUUUUCUUCUCCCCCCCACAUACAGAAUAAAUAAACUUUCCUACAUUCACAGCAUUUCUUAAUUGUUGGUGUAUCUCACUAAACUUGCAUGUGAAUGUAAAUGUGCAAUAUAAGCACGUGAAGCAAGCAGCUCCCUCUUUAUAACUAAUCCCAUUCUUUCAGUGGGCACUGGUUUAUUCUCAGAUUUAAUUCUAGAUAGAAUCCUUAGAGUUUGGAGAGAGGGAGGAAAAAAGCUGCCAGUGAGGUUAUUCAGAGUGGAAUAUGUGUUAUUGCCACCACUGCAUAUUUUACUAUCAGAAAAACACCAGUGAUCCUAAGGAGGUGAGGCACCCAGCUACCUCUCUCAUUUUCACACUUUGUAUGAUAUAACAACCUCACUGUGUAGAUUUCUGCUGAUCUCAUGUAGUAGUAUUUGCCCAGUGAUUUACAGUAGCAUGAACUGUACUAUAUGGGUAACACAUAGGCAAUUUUACAGAGACAUCUCCGUUCUCAGCAAAGCGAGAACAUCUCACUUACAAUGAGAAUACACUUCCCAGCAUUUCCAGAGGGAUAUUUGUAAAACUUAGGCGGUGUUGAUUUACCUACGUCUAUGUAUAGAAAAUAAUUUAUCUGGUUUAAGUAGCUUUGUGUGUUUUAUCUGCUCUCUUAUGGUUCAUAUAGUAACUUCACAUGAUGCUUUGAUAGAUUUGAGCUGACUGAUGAAGGAUAUAUGCAAAUAUAUAUAUAAGUUUCCAGAUUAUGUUGGGUAACUUAUUAAAUACUACCGUACGGUACAAAGCUUAUGUUCCAUGGUAUUAGCACUGGGGAGUUUUCAUCUGACUUUUAGCAUCAUCUCCUGUAGUUUACAGUUGAGCUUUUCUAAAAGGCCUCUGUUCUUCAAAAGAGACUGAGAAUGGUUUAGUGGUUUUAAGUGUCAGUUACAGAAAAUUGCUGAUUGUAAGGAGAAGACGUUAUAAUCCCCGAACACUUGAAUUCCUGUAUCUUGUCCGCAUAAUCUUAAACCAUACAUGGUGGUGGUUGCAUUAUCAUGGCAUGGAGAUUUUUUUUCUUCCCCAAAUCCACUAUUUUAUUCUAAAAACUGCAGUGCUGUACAGAGAACAGAGCAGCUCUUGCUGUUUCUUCAUCUUGGCUAACAGUCAUUUUGCAGGAGAUUAACACAAAAGCUUUAUGGCUUGUUGGUCCAGCAGUCUCCUGAGGAGGUUGAAUGGGAUGGAGAAGGGGCAGCCUUUAGGAAGUGCUGAGUGUCUGUAAUGCAUAGCCAGCCUCACUUUAGCAAAGCUUUUGAGCUUUUAUGGGUAGAACUGAACAAGCUGCAUGUUGAUGCAGUUGAUUUCAGUGGAGCUCCUUGUGUGCAUAUACCAGGACUAUUUCUUGUGAAAUUUAGAAACUGUUCAGGAAAGAGAAACUCAUUCUUCCUUUCCUUUAUGAGUGUGCCUGGCACUGGGCCCCAAAGCUGCACUCCCUACUUACUCUUUCUGGCAAGUAGAUCUUAAAUUGUUGUUAAAUAAUGUUGAAGCAUCACGCUAAUAACAACUGCCACCAUCAGUGGAUGCUUUAAGUGCCUAUCCAAGUUGUGCUUUGAGUGCCUAAAGCCUCUUGGAUGUGGCCUUUUUGCUCUUUCAUAUCAUUUAAUUAUUACUUGGUGAUGAAAGGUGAAUUAGCAUUCACCUCUGAAGGUGGUUGAAUAGUGAGUGUUUUGUGCAAAACUUACAGUGUAGGCAUUGUAACGAAUGGAGACAAAAGGUUUUGUUUUCCUUGUAAGGUGUUGGUGCCAAGAGUUUGAGGUUUUCCUUGAGAAGGAAGCAUAUGUGCAACAACCCCACCAACCACGUAGGGAGGAGAGGAGAUUGAAUGCAACCGUCCAAAAUGUCCCUGCGUUCCGUUCUGCGAGCAGCCCGGCAGCCGAGACACACGUAGUGCAGCUGAGCUGAAGCGGGACUUCUCGCCCGUGCUGUAAAAGGGAGGAUGCGGCUCCGGCCCUCGGCUGGAUUGCAGCGGUGAGUCGGGCUGGCUGCAGGCUCAGCGCAGAGGUCCGCCCCUGGGGACCAGAACACCGCGGGGCCGGGCCGUCGGGCUGGGGUCGUUAAUAGGAGGGGUGGGAACCCGGUGGGAACCCGGUGGGAACCCGCCCAACUCCUGAGUCGAUAUAACGCAAAGCAAUA